This 876-nucleotide ribosomal RNA is filed under the name Rhytidhysteron neorufulum. RNAcentral's name for it is "partial large subunit ribosomal RNA". It matches the Rfam family "Eukaryotic large subunit ribosomal RNA", at positions 38 to 933 of the family's 3401-position model. Lineage: Eukaryota; Fungi; Ascomycota; Dothideomycetes; Hysteriales; Hysteriaceae. The record is from RNAcentral.
GCAUAUCAAUAAGCGGAGGAAAAGAAACCAACAGGGAUUGCCUCAGUAACGGCGAGUGAAGCGGCAACAGCUCAAAUUUGAAAUCUGGCUCCCCUGGGGGCCCGAGUUGUAAUUUGUAGAGGAUGCUUCGGCGUGGGCCCCGGUCUAAGUUCCUUGGAACAGGACGUCACAGAGGGUGAGAAUCCCGUACGUGGCCGUGGGUGCUCGCCAUGUGAAGCUCCUUCGACGAGUCGAGUUGUUUGGGAAUGCAGCUCUAAAUGGGAGGUAAAUUUCUUCUAAAGCUAAAUACUGGCCAGAGACCGAUAGCGCACAAGUAGAGUGAUCGAAAGAUGAAAAGCACUUUGGAAAGAGAGUCAAAAAGUACGUGAAAUUGUUGAAAGGGAAGCGCUUGCAACCAGACCUGCCUGCGGUUGCUCAUCCGGGCUCCUGCCCGGUGCACUCUUCCGCAGUCAGGCCAGCAUCAGCUCUGGCGGUCGGAUAAAGGCGGCGGGAAUGUGGCUCCCCUCGGGGAGUGUUAUAGCCCGCCGUGCAAUGCGGCCAGCCGGGACUGAGGUCCGCGCUUCGGCUAGGAUGCUGGCGUAAUGGUUGUAAGCGGCCCGUCUUGAAACACGGACCAAGGAGUCUAACAUCUGUGCGAGUGUUUGGGUGUCAAGCCCAGGCGCGUAAUGAAAGUGAACGGAGGCGGGAACCUUCGGGUGCACCGUCGACCGAUCCUGAUGUCUUCGGAUGGAUUUGAGUAAGAGCAUAGCUGUUGGGACCCGAAAGAUGGUGAACUAUGCCUGAAUAGGGUGAAGCCAGAGGAAACUCUGGUGGAGGCUCGCAGCGGUUCUGACGUGCAAAUCGAUCGUCAAAUUUGGGCAUAGGGGCGAAAGACUA